AGUGAACGCUGGCGGUAGGCCUAACACAUGCAAGUCGAACGGCAGCACAGUAAGAGCUUGCUCUUACGGGUGGCGAGUGGCGGACGGGUGAGGCAUACAUCGGAAUCUACUUUUUCGUGGGGGAUAACGUAGGGAAACUUACGCUAAUACCGCAUACGACCUACGGGUGAAAGCAGGGGAUCUUCGGACCUUGCGCGAUUGAAUGAGCCGAUGUCGGAUUAGCUAGUUGGCGGGGUAAAGGCCCACCAAGGCGACGAUCCGUAGCUGGUCUGAGAGGAUGAUCAGCCACACUGGAACUGAGACACGGUCCAGACUCCUACGGGAGGCAGCAGUGGGGAAUAUUGGACAAUGGGCGCAAGCCUGAUCCAGCCAUACCGCGUGGGUGAAGAAGGCCUUCGGGUUGUAAAGCCCUUUUGCUGGGAAAGAAAAGCAGCAGGUUAAUACCCCGCUGUUCUGACGGUACCCAAAGAAUAAGCACCGGCUAACUUCGUG
RNAcentral lists this ribosomal RNA (492 nucleotides) under uncultured bacterium. RNAcentral's name for it is "partial 16S ribosomal RNA". It matches the Rfam family "Bacterial small subunit ribosomal RNA", at positions 29 to 507 of the family's 1533-position model. The record is from RNAcentral.